This 232-nucleotide ribosomal RNA is filed under the name uncultured bacterium. Its description in RNAcentral is "partial 16S ribosomal RNA". It matches the Rfam family "Bacterial small subunit ribosomal RNA", at positions 99 to 334 of the family's 1533-position model. The record is from RNAcentral.
CGGACGGGUGAGUAAUGUCUGGGAAACUGCCUGAUGGAGGGGGAUAACUACUGGAAACGGUAGCUAAUACCGCAUAACGUCGCAAGACCAAAGAGGGGGACCUUAGGGCCUCUUGCCAUCGGAUGUGCCCAGAUGGGAUUAACUAGUAGGUGGGGUAACGGCUCACCUAGGCGACGAUCCCUAGCUGGUCUGAGAGGAUGACCAGCCACACUGGAACUGAGACACGGUCCAG